Molecule: ribosomal RNA, 253 nt
Filed under: uncultured bacterium
Lineage: Bacteria
Description: partial 16S ribosomal RNA
Rfam family: Bacterial small subunit ribosomal RNA
Source: RNAcentral
UACGGGGGGGGCAAGCGUUGUUCGGAAUUACUGGGCGUAAAGGGCGCGUAGGCGGUUGGAUAAGUCAGCUGUGAAAACCACGGGCUUAACUCGUGGCCUGCAGUUGAGACUGUCUGGCUUGAGUGUGGGAGAGGAGAGUGGAAUUCCUGGUGUAGCGGUGAAAUGCGUAGAUAUCAGGAGGAACACCGGUGGCGAAGGCGGCUCUCUGGACCACAACUGACGCUGAGGCGCGAAAGCUAGGGGAGCGAACGGG